AAUUUGCAGAGGAUGCUUCUGGCAAGGUGCCUUCCGAGUUCCCUGGAACGGGACGCCAUAGAGGGUGAGAGCCCCGUACGGUUGGACACCGAGCCGUUGUGUAGCUCCUUCAACGAGUCGAGUAGUUUGGGAAUGCUGCUCUAAAUGGGAGGUAUAUCUCUUCUAAAGCUAAAUACCGGCCAGAGACCGAUAGCGCACAAGUAGAGUGAUCGAAAGAUGAAAAGCACUUUGAAAAGAGAGUUAAAUAGCACGUGAAAUUGUUGAAAGGGAAGCGCUUAUGACCAGACUUGUGUCCGGUGAAUUAGCUGGCGUUCUCGCCAGUCGACUUUGCCGGCUCAGGCCAGCAUCGGUUUGCUAUUGGGGAGAAAAACGGUGGGAACGUGGCUCCCUCGGGAGUGUUAUAGCCCGCCGUAUAAUACCCUUUAGCAGACCGAGGACCGCGCAUCUGCAUGGAUGUUGGC
Molecule: ribosomal RNA, 461 nt
Filed under: Knoxdaviesia scolytodis
Lineage: Eukaryota; Fungi; Ascomycota; Sordariomycetes; Microascales; Gondwanamycetaceae
Description: eukaryotic LSU rRNA
Rfam family: Eukaryotic large subunit ribosomal RNA
Source: RNAcentral